This 423-nucleotide ribosomal RNA is filed under the name uncultured bacterium. RNAcentral describes it as "bacterial SSU rRNA". It matches the Rfam family "Bacterial small subunit ribosomal RNA", at positions 202 to 622 of the family's 1533-position model. The record is from RNAcentral.
AAGACCUUGUGCUUUUGGAGCGGCCGAUGCCUGAUUAGCUUGUUGGUAAGGUAAAAGCUUACCAAGGCUUCGAUCAGUAGCUGGUCUGAGAGGACGACCAGCCACACUGGGACUGAGGCACGGCCCAGACUCCUACGGGAGGCAGCAGUGGGGAAUUUUGGACAAUGGGGGCAACCCUGAUCCAGCCAUGCCGCGUGAGUGAAGAAGGCCUUCGGGUUGUAAAGCUCUUUCAGCCGGAACGAAACGGUUACGGAUAAUACCCGUGACUACUGACGGUACCGGAAGAAGAAGCACCGGCUAACUACGUGCCAGCAGCCGCGGUAAUACGUAGGGUGCAAGCGUUAAUCGGAAUUACUGGGCGUAAAGCGUGCGCAGGUGGUUUUGUAAGUCAGAUGUGAAAGCCCCGGGCUCAACCUGGGAACU